Molecule: signal recognition particle RNA, 300 nt
Filed under: Aotus nancymaae (Ma's night monkey)
Lineage: Eukaryota; Metazoa; Chordata; Mammalia; Primates; Aotidae
Description: Metazoan signal recognition particle RNA (ENSANAG00000015364.1)
Rfam family: Metazoan signal recognition particle RNA
About the family: The signal recognition particle (SRP) is a universally conserved ribonucleoprotein. It is involved in the co-translational targeting of proteins to membranes.
Source: RNAcentral
GCUGCGUGUGGUGGCGCGUGCCUGUAGUCCCAGCUACUCGGGAGGCUGAGGUGGGAAGACAGUUUGAGCCCAGGAGUUCUGGGCUGUAGUGCGCUAUGCCGAUCGGGUGUCCACACUAAGUUUGAUAUCAAUAUGGUGACCUCCCGUGAGCAGAGGACCACCAGGUUGCCUAAGGAGGAGUGAACUGGCCCAGGUUGGAAACGGAGCAGGUCAAAACUCCUGUGCUGAUCGGUUGUGGGAUCGUGCCUGUGAAUAGCCACUGUACUCCAGCCUGGGCAACAUAGUGAGACCCCCAUCUCU